AACUGGAGCUAUAUACUUUG
This 20-nucleotide unclassified non-coding RNA is filed under the name Dictyostelium discoideum. Lineage: Eukaryota; Evosea; Eumycetozoa; Dictyosteliales; Dictyosteliaceae. The record is from RNAcentral.